RNAcentral lists this ribosomal RNA (495 nucleotides) under uncultured bacterium. Its description in RNAcentral is "partial 16S ribosomal RNA". It matches the Rfam family "Bacterial small subunit ribosomal RNA", at positions 28 to 505 of the family's 1533-position model. The record is from RNAcentral.
GAUGAACGCUGGUGGCGUGCCUAAUACAUGCAAGUCGAGCGAACAGACGAGGAGCUUGCUCCUCUGACGUUAGCGGCGGACGGGUGAGUAACACGUGGAUAACCUACCUAUAAGACUGGGAUAACUUCGGGAAACCGGAGCUAAUACCGGAUAAUAUAUUGAACCGCAUGGUUCAAUAGUGAAAGACGGUUUUGCUGUCACUUAUAGAUGGAUCCGCGCCGCAUUAGCUAGUUGGUAAGGUAACGGCUUACCAAGGCAACGAUGCGUAGCCGACCUGAGAGGGUGAUCGGCCACACUGGAACUGAGACACGGUCCAGACUCCUACGGGAGGCAGCAGUAGGGAAUCUUCCGCAAUGGGCGAAAGCCUGACGGAGCAACGCCGCGUGAGUGAUGAAGGUCUUCGGAUCGUAAAACUCUGUUAUUAGGGAAGAACAAAUGUGUAAGUAACUAUGCACGUCUUGACGGUACCUAAUCAGAAAGCCACGGCUAACUACG